UCGCCUGUUUAUCAAAAACAUGUCUGUAUGGAAAUAAUAUAAAGUCUGGCCUGCCCACUGAGUAUUUAAAGGGCCGCGGUAAUUUGACCGUGCGAAGGUAGCAUAAUCAAUAGUCUCUUAAUUGGAGGCUGGAAUGAAGGGUUGUACAAGAAGUAGUCUGUCUUUUUUAUAAAAAUUGAAUUUAACUUUUAAGUGAAAAGGCUUAGAUUUUCUGGGGGGACGAUAAGACCCUAUAAAACUUUACAUGAGUUAGUUUGUUUUUGAAUUUGGGUAUUAAUAAAAAUUAUCUUUAUCUUGUUACGUUGGGGCGACGAAAAUAUAAUUUGUAACUGUUUGUAGAUUAAAAUAAAGGUAUUUAGACGAGUUGAUCCUGUAUUAUGGAUUAUAAGAGUAAGUUACUUUAGGGAUAACAGCGUAAUUUUUUCUGAGAGUUCUUAUCGACGAAAGUAGUUGCGACCUCGAUGUUGAAUUAAAAUUUCAUCAAGGUGUAGAAGCUUUGAUUGUAGGUCUGUUCGACCUUUAAAAUUUUACAUGAUUUGAGUUCAAACCGGUGUGAGCCAGGUUGGUUUCCUAUCUAA
This 578-nucleotide ribosomal RNA is filed under the name Acanthephyra armata. RNAcentral describes it as "partial 16S ribosomal RNA". It matches the Rfam family "Bacterial large subunit ribosomal RNA", at positions 1796 to 2645 of the family's 2925-position model. The record is from RNAcentral. Lineage: Eukaryota; Metazoa; Arthropoda; Malacostraca; Decapoda; Oplophoridae.